This 566-nucleotide ribosomal RNA is filed under the name uncultured bacterium. RNAcentral's name for it is "partial 16S ribosomal RNA". It matches the Rfam family "Bacterial small subunit ribosomal RNA", at positions 355 to 911 of the family's 1533-position model. The record is from RNAcentral.
UGGGGAAUAUUGCACAAUGGGCGCAAGCCUGAUGCAGCCAUGCCGCGUGUGUGAAGAAGGCCUUCGGGUUGUAAAGCACUUUCAGCGAGGAGGAAGGUGGUGAACUUAAUACGUUCAUCAAUUGACGUUACUCGCAGAAGAAGCACCGGCUAACUCCGUGCCAGCAGCCGCGGUAAUACGGAGGGUGCAAGCGUUAAUCGGAAUUACUGGGCGUAAAGCGCACGCAGGCGGUUUGUUAAGUCAGAUGUGAAAUCCCCGGGCUCAACCUGGGAACUGCAUUUGAAACUGGCAAGCUAGAGUCUCGUAGAGGGGGGUAGAAUUCCAGGUGUAGCGGUGAAAUGCGUAGAGAUCUGGAGGAAUACCGGUGGCGAAGGCGGCCCCCCUGGACGAAGACUGACGCUCAGGUGCGAAAGCGUGGGGCAGCAAACAGGAUUAGAUACCCUGGUAGUCCAUGCUGUAAACGAUGUCGAUUUGGAGGUUGUGCCCUUGAGGCGUGGCUUCCGGAGCUAACGCGUUAAAUCGACCGCCUGGGGAGUACGGCCGCAAGGUUAAAACUUAAAGGAAUU